Molecule: non-coding RNA, 71 nt
Organism: Bryopsis sp. KO-2023
Lineage: Eukaryota; Viridiplantae; Chlorophyta; Ulvophyceae; Bryopsidales; Bryopsidaceae
Source: the annotation of a GenBank genome assembly
UGGAGUAUAGCCAAGAGGUAAGGCGUCGGAUUUUGGUUCCGAUAUCAAAGGUUCGAAUCCUUUUACUCCAG